CAGCCGCCGCGGUAAAACCAGCACCUCAAGUGGUCAGGAUGAUUAUUGGGCCUAAAGCAUCCGUAGCCGGCUCUGUAAGUUUUCGGUUAAAUCUGUACGCUCAACGUACAGGCUGCCGGGAAUACUGCAGAGCUAGGGAGUGGGAGAGGUAGACGGUACUCGGUAGGAAGGGGUAAAAUCCUUUGAUCUAUUGAUGACCACCUGUGGCGAAGGCGGUCUACCAGAACACGUCCGACGGUGAGGGAUGAAAGCUGGGGGAGCAAACCGGAUUAGAUACCCGGGUAGUCCCAGCUGUAAACUAUGCAAACUCAGUGAUGCAUUGGCUUGUGGCCAAUGCGGUGCUGCAGGGAAGCCGUUAAGUUUGCCGCCUGGGAAGUACGUACGCAAGUAUGAAACUUAAAGGAAUUGGCGGGGGAGCAC
Molecule: ribosomal RNA, 420 nt
Filed under: uncultured Nitrososphaerota archaeon
Lineage: Archaea; Thermoproteati; Nitrososphaerota
Description: bacterial SSU rRNA
Rfam family: Archaeal small subunit ribosomal RNA
Source: RNAcentral